AGUGAACGCUGGCGGUAGGCCUAACACAUGCAAGUCGAACGGCAGCACAGUAAGAGCUUGCUCUUACGGGUGGCGAGUGGCGGACGGGUGAGGAAUACAUCGGAAUCUACUUUUACGGGGGGGAUAACGUAGGGAAACUUACGCUAAUACCGCAUAUGAUCUACGGGUGAAAGCAGGGGAUCUUCGGACCUUGCGCGAUUCAAUGAGCCGAUGUCGGAUUAGCUAGUUGGCGGGGUAAAGGCCCACCAAGGCGACGAUCCGUAGCUGAUCUGAGAGGAUGAUCAGCCACACUGGAACUGAGACACGGUCCAGACUCCUGCGGGAGGCAGCAGUGGGGAAUAUUGCACAAUGGGCGAAAGCCUGAUCCAGCAAUGCCGCGUGAGUGAAGAAGGCCUUCGGGUUGUAAAGCCCUUUUGUUGGGAAAGAAAAACUGCAGGUGAAACCCCCGCUGUUCUGACGGUACCCAAAGAGUAAGCACCGGCUAACUUCGUG
This 492-nucleotide ribosomal RNA is filed under the name uncultured bacterium. Its description in RNAcentral is "partial 16S ribosomal RNA". It matches the Rfam family "Bacterial small subunit ribosomal RNA", at positions 29 to 507 of the family's 1533-position model. The record is from RNAcentral.